CUCUUAUGAGUUAGCGGCGGACGGGUGAGUAACACGUGGGUAACCUGCCCAUAAGACUGGGAUAACUCCGGGAAACCGGGGCUAAUACCGGAUAACAUUUUGAACCGCAUGGUUCGAAAUUGAAAGGCGGCUUCGGCUGUCACUUAUGGAUGGACCCGCGUCGCAUUAGCUAGUUGGUGAGGUAACGGCUCACCAAGGCAACGAUGCGUAGCCGACCUGAGAGGGUGAUCGGCCACACUGGGACUGAGACACGGCCCAGACUCCUACGGGAGGCAGCAGUAGGGAAUCUUCCGCAAUGGACGAAAGUCUGACGGAGCAACGCCGCGUGAGUGAUGAAGGCUUUCGGGUCGUAAAACUCUGUUGUUAGGGAAGAACAAGUGCUAGUUGAAUAAGCUGGCACCUUGACGGUACCUAACCAGAAAGCCACGGCUAACUACGUG
Molecule: ribosomal RNA, 440 nt
Filed under: Bacillus thuringiensis
Lineage: Bacteria; Bacillati; Bacillota; Bacilli; Caryophanales; Bacillaceae
Description: bacterial SSU rRNA
Rfam family: Bacterial small subunit ribosomal RNA
Source: RNAcentral